This 206-nucleotide ribosomal RNA is filed under the name uncultured bacterium. RNAcentral describes it as "partial 16S ribosomal RNA". It matches the Rfam family "Bacterial small subunit ribosomal RNA", at positions 568 to 774 of the family's 1533-position model. The record is from RNAcentral.
UUCGUAGGUGGCCAACUAAGUCAGACGUGAAAUCCCUCAGCUUAACUGGGGAACUGCGUCUGAUACUGAUUGGCUUGAGUGCAGGAGAGGAACGCGGAAUUCCAGGUGUAGCGGUGAAAUGCGUAGAUAUCUGGAGGAACACCGGUGGCGAAGGCGGCGUUCUGGACUGCAACUGACACUGAGGAACGAAAGCCAGGGAGCAAACG